UGGUGGAGCGAUUUGUCUGGUUAAUUCCGAUAACGAACGAGACUCUAGCCUGCUAAACAGACGGGCGAUCCCGUUGUGGGUCGACCCGAUUUGCUUCUUAGAGGGACAAGUGGCGUUCUUAGCCACGCGAAAUUGAGCAAUAACA
This 145-nucleotide ribosomal RNA is filed under the name uncultured eukaryote. Its description in RNAcentral is "partial 18S ribosomal RNA". It matches the Rfam family "Eukaryotic small subunit ribosomal RNA", at positions 1299 to 1458 of the family's 1831-position model. The record is from RNAcentral.